RNAcentral lists this long non-coding RNA (720 nucleotides) under Homo sapiens (human). Its description in RNAcentral is "HSALNT0245516". Lineage: Eukaryota; Metazoa; Chordata; Mammalia; Primates; Hominidae. The record is from RNAcentral.
CUAACUGCCAAGCCCAAGUUCUUAUCAGGUGCCUCUCCCACCUCCUCACUCAGCUUCUAAAACUGCCCCCCUCUUAGUUCCACUCUCUCACUCCAUGGAGUAGAAGGCAUUUUGUGUGACUUGCAAGUCUCAGAGAAGCCAGGCCCAGCUCCUGGGCUGUGCUCAGCCCCACCGGGGGCACCUGAGCCCCAGGCAUAGCUCGUCCAGCCCUAGACUUACCCUUGGCCGGCCGAGCUCAACAGCCUUGGGCGGUAGGAUGUCCUGACUGUCCUUAGCGGCUCUUGCCUUGAAGGAAGAGUUGAGGCAACACAGGUCUGGCAGCCGCAAGCCCAGGAUCAAGGUGUUGGCGGAUCUGAAGGCUACUGAACGAUUGUCUUCCUGGCUUGUAGGCGGCCUCUCCUUGUUGUAUCCUUACUGGUGGAGAGCGGAGCGGAAGCAAGCUCUCUCUUGUCUUUUUAUAGGGGCUUUCAUCCAUCUACACGGGCUCCACCCUUUUGACCUAAUUACCUCCCCAAGGCCCCAUAUUCAAAUACCGUCACACCAGUUGAGGUUUCAACAUAUGAACUUGGCAGGGGCAGAAGGCAAACAUUUCAGCCAUAGCCCUGAGCUAACCCUAAGACUCCCCAGCAUAGCGGGGAGGUUGCAGUGAGCUGAGAUCACGCCACUGCACUCCAGCCUGGGCAACAGAGCAAGACUCUGUCUCAAAAAAAAAAAAAAAAA